AUGGGGGUGCCUUCUUUCUUCCGUUGGCUGGGCAACAAGUAUCCCAAAGUGGUGGUCAAGGCCAUUGCCGACCAGAGAGAUGAGUCCACCAGCUCACCAAUCCCAAAUGGCAUUGAGUUUGAUAACCUUUAUCUUGACAUGAAUGGGAUUAUCCAUCCCUGCUUUCACCCGGAAUCAGACGAAGAUGGAGAAGGAAAUUUGUGCAACCAAACUAGAUUUGAAGAGGUGUUCAUCAAUAUUUUUGAAUAUAUUGAUACACUUUUCAACGUUGUUCGACCAAGGAAGCUUUUAUACAUGGCCAUAGAUGGAGUUGCUCCAAGGGCUAAAAUGAAUCAACAACGUGCCAGGCGUUUCAAGUCUGCCAAGGACAAGGAAUUAGCUGAUGCUGAAGAAGAGAAGCUGAGAAGACAGUUUGAAUUGGAAGGCAAACAAGUGUUACCAAAAAAGGAAAACGAAGUCUCCGAUUCAAAUAUAAUCACCCCUGGAACUGAUUUUAUGUACAAAUUGUUGAAUGCUCUCCGCAGCUAUAUUAAUUUACGUUUGAGCAAUGAUUCAGGCUGGAGGGACAUCAAGGUGAUUCUUUCUGAUGCCAAUGUUCCUGGAGAAGGGGAACACAACAUAAUGUCUUUCAUACGCCAGCAGCGUAAUUUUCCUUCAUAUGAUCCAAACACCCGCCAUUGCAUGUAUGGAUUGGACGCAGAUUUGAUAAUGUUGGCUUUGGCGACACAUGAAGUUCAUUUUUCCAUAUUGAGAGAGGAUGUUCUAAACCAGGAGCAGCAACAUGCAAACUGUCAAUCUGUUCGAGAAAUGACUUCGUCUUCUGUAAAGUCAGACAACAGAAAAGCAUCCAUUGUAAAAAAGCCCUAUCAGCUUCUGCAUGUUUGGAUUUUGAGGGAAUAUUUGGAGCUUGAUAUGCAAAUCAAUGAUCCUCCUGCGAAUUUCAAGUUUGAUCUUGAGCGUAUAAUUGAUGAUUUUAUAUUUAUGUGUUUUUUUGCUGGAAAUGUUUUUCUGCCCCACAUGCCAUCUUUGGAAAUUCAUGAGGGUGCAAUUGACUUGCUGACGACUGUGUAUAAGAAGGAAUUCAAAAAUCUCGGUGGUUAUAUGGUUGAUAUGCUCCAGCUAGAGGAAGAAAUUGAUGCUGGUAGUUCAACUACUGAUUCAAGCAGUACUUGUGCAUUGCCUAAUGGAGAAGAAUCCCAAGCUCUGUCACUUGGGACGUUUGAAAAUAUGCAUUCUCAAAUAAUAGAAAAUACAGAGGAGUUUAAGCAGAAAUUGAAAGAUAGCAUCAGAAGGAAAUCUGAUCUGUUUAAGAAUGGUGAUUUAGGGACGGACAAAGUACGAUAUGCUGCUGCAGGCUACAAGGAAAGAUAUUACAAAUACAAAUUUUCUGCAGAAGGGCCAGGGGAUAUUGAAAGCAAAAGAAAGGAAGUAGUUAAAUACUACACUGAAGGACUGCUCUCGGUUCUCUUGUACUAUUUUUCUGGUCCCCCAUCAUGGACAUGGUUUUAUCCUUUCCAUUAUGCUCCAUUUGCUUCCGACUUAAAGGGCCUUGGUCAGGUGAAACCUAAGUUUGAAAAAGGUUCCCCAUUCUUACCUAUUGAUACUCUUAUGGCUGUGUUACCACCCAGAAGGUAACUAUGUUUCUUUGUUUUGUAAGUUUGCUCAUGCACUUCCGAAAGUUUAUCAGACACUUAUGACAGAUGAGAGUUCUACCAUUAUUGACUUUUACCCUUCUGAUUUUGAAAUUGAUAUGGAUGGGAAACGCUUGACAUGGCAGGGCAUUUGCAAACUUCCUUUUAUAGAAGAAGAACGGCUUCUAUCUCAAACAAGAAAGUUAGAGAAGGAGUUGGUGGGGGAAGACAGAGACAGGAAUAAAGAGAAAGUUGAUCAAUUAUUUGUGCAAAGCACACGCAAUAUGGCAUCACAGAUUGUCGCACUGUUUACAAAGGAAAACUGCCCCAUCAAGAUUGACAACAGUUUGUGUUCUGGAAUUAGUAGUUUUUUCCGUCUUCAUGAGAAUGCUUCCAGUGUUAAAGGAGGAGAUCAUAAACUUCGAGAAGACUCUGUCUUAUGUGUGCGAUAUGAGCUUCCAAAAGAUGGUCCACAUGCGCCUCGUUUACUUGCUGGUGUAGAGUUUCCUGUCAAGACAAUCACUGAAGACGAUCUUAUGGAGACAAAACUAUGGCACGAAUAUCAGGGAAGCACAUCCAGCUCCAGCAGUCACCUUGUUCAGGAAAGGUUUAGCAAACCAGAUAACGUGGGAAAUCGAGGCUUCCGGAACAAUGCUAGAUUCACUUCUAGCUCUCCGAAUAUGAUACACAAAUUUUCUGGCACUGGAUGGGGUUGUGGUAGAGGGAAAGCAAUUGCAAGUCCUGAUUUUGGAGACCGAUUUCAUGCUCCAGGAAGAAUACCUUGUGAAAGAGUAAUGUCAUCUAGCUCAUAUUCAGCGAACGGUGCAGUAGUAUACAAAAAAGCCUCUCUUCAUGAGACACCUUUUUGUCAUGAAAAGUGGAGAGUUGCUGGUUCUGGUUCAGGAGAUCAAAUACGAACCCUUAGGGAUUUGAAAAUAUCGAAGUCGUCAUCAAGCCAGGGCUGGAGGCCUAAUGGAAGAGUUCAGUCAGCAAACAAUGUUUUCCAGCCGUCUAGAAAUGGCUUCACACCUGACACAAACCAUGCUUGGCAACAUGGUCAGUGCCGCAGUAGGGGCCAUCAGGACUCCUCGAAGCAUUAUUCACCUUUUGCUGCUAACCGUUCAUCCCAAGUCAGUGCCGCAGUAGGGGCCAUAAGCCCCGCUGGUAGCUAGUUAACACAUAGCCCUCUUUGCUUGGCUGCCAAAAGAGCAAGAAAAGCACUGUUUUGUUCACAUUCCAUAUAUUUUGUAUUUUACGGCUGAAGGAUGAAGAAUAUUCGAUCUGCUAGCUUUUUCCUAUGCUUCACAAUUUCUGCAAUUCCAUAUUUUUGUUAAUUAAGCAAGGCAUUCUACUCAAGAAUCAAAUAAUGUUGGGCUAAA
Non-coding RNA from Prunus avium (sweet cherry), 3010 nucleotides. NCBI's taxonomy places the organism in Eukaryota, Viridiplantae, Streptophyta, Magnoliopsida, Rosales, Rosaceae. The record is from RefSeq and is a predicted model, not a curated record.